GAGAAACCCAGUCCCAGUAGCCGUCUCGCCCCCGGCCCGGCGCCCGCUGCGGGAGCCAGACCCCGGGGAAGGCGGUGAAUUUAGUGCUGAUGAAUGGUGCUGAAUUAUGUGACCUUUGGCUGAGACAUGAAAGAUGCUGGAUUGGAAGUUCUGGAGCCUGAAGCUUCCUAUUUACUACAGAACAGGUGUCCACAUCACAGAAAUGAUCUGCUAGAUAAUGCACUGAGAUCCACCAACCAACCAACUGGUAACAGUCCUUCAGCACUAUCAGCCUGGCAGUAGACUGAAUCAGUAAUCUAGAGAUGAGAGGAAAGGUGGCAAUUGCUAACUAAAAUUAGAAGAUGUGGAAUCAGAAAUCACUUCCGAGGCCUGUGAAGAGAACUUACGAUGAGCAACUUCCUGCUGUGAGAAUGAACGGGCUGAAUUUUGUGAAGCAUCUUGUUCCAUCUGGGGCUCUGUGGACAGCCUUCUAUUCCUGGCUCCAUCCCAGAAGCUCAAGGUAGAUGUCAUGUUCACA
This is a long non-coding RNA of Terrapene triunguis (Three-toed box turtle), 517 nucleotides long. RefSeq lists it as uncharacterized. The transcript has 4 exons. The record is from RefSeq and is a predicted model, not a curated record. Lineage: Eukaryota; Metazoa; Chordata; Testudines; Emydidae.